AUUAAAGUGGCAGAUUAGUGCGAUGGAUUUAAGCUCCAUGGAAGAUGGAAUUCCUUUAGUA
Molecule: transfer RNA, 61 nt
Filed under: Secretargas transgariepinus
Lineage: Eukaryota; Metazoa; Arthropoda; Arachnida; Ixodida; Argasidae
Description: Argas transgariepinus tRNA-Leu
Source: RNAcentral